RNAcentral lists this long non-coding RNA (1011 nucleotides) under Bos indicus x Bos taurus (hybrid cattle). RNAcentral describes it as "lncRNA (ENSBIXG00000004963.1)". The record is from RNAcentral. Lineage: Eukaryota; Metazoa; Chordata; Mammalia; Artiodactyla; Bovidae.
CAAAAGCCUGGUGACAUGCGAUUGGAUGUGUUUAUUCCAGUUGAGCGUAGUCUGAUGCCUUCGAGAUACCAUGCUGGCUGGUGAUUUAUGUAUGGGGUGAUUUGCUUGGGGUUGAGUCCGUGGAGAACAGGGAUCAUGCGAACAAGCCCACCAUUGUUUACUGAUCAGGUGCGGUCCUCCACCUACUUACCAGGCGUUGGCCACGAAACAUGUUCACUUUGGCAGUAGUUUCCACCAAAGGCAUCCUCUUGGUUAUGGAGAUUUGAAAAGCUGAGAUAAAGUCUUCCUUAUUUUCAACCUAAUCUAUUUCAUCUCAGAAAGUAUUAAGGAGAUAAGAACAAGUGGCCAAGUUCUUGGUACAUUCCUGCGGACAGCAUCCAGGGAGAGCCUAAGCUAGACAGCGUGAGCACAUAAACCUUUAGAAUCCUGUGAACCAUGCAGUGUUUCAAUCCACAAACAGUAUUUGUUUAGGGAACAAAGCAGCAAAAACCUGCAACGGAUCCAAAGAGGAAAGUAACUCUCCUUUCUGGGAAUGAAGUUCUAUUUGUGCUUGCCUCUCCUCACGCCUUCAAGAUCGUAAAAGCUUUUAAUUUUUUGGAGGUCAGCUGCAGUUACUGCCUUAAAAGCUGCAUCCUUCUUUCAAGGCUUCUGUCACAGACUCGAAGGAAAGCCUGAAAUCAUCAACUAAGCAGCCUAGGGGCCUUAGAUGAGCCAUUUUCCAACUUGGGAAGAGAAAAGAGAGGAAGGAACAAGAAAAGCAUAGUGGAAUCAGAGUCAAUAUCAAUUAUAUUUGGGUGAGGAUCCAUUUAAUUGAUGACAAUUCAAUUCCUGGACUUCAGGGACCAGCCUGUUAACUUGUCUUCUGUAACGGUAAAACAACUAGACAUGUGUGGAGCAGUUUAUGCAACAAAGACAAAGCAAAACUGGAGGACCUAUGAUCCAAGACAAGGCAAGUGUAGAAAACUGGAUGUAUUUAUGUUCAUCUCUAUAUGUGUUAUUUUUAAGUUUUUC